CCCGUGAUGAGAUGGUUCUGGCCCUUGUUCC
This 31-nucleotide non-coding RNA is filed under the name Homo sapiens (human). The record is from RNAcentral. Lineage: Eukaryota; Metazoa; Chordata; Mammalia; Primates; Hominidae.